This 411-nucleotide ribosomal RNA is filed under the name uncultured bacterium. RNAcentral describes it as "bacterial SSU rRNA". It matches the Rfam family "Bacterial small subunit ribosomal RNA", at positions 505 to 916 of the family's 1533-position model. The record is from RNAcentral.
GUGUCAGCCGCCGCGGUAAUACGUAGGGUCCAAGCGUUAAUCGGAAUUACUGGGCGUAAAGCGUGCGUAGGCGGUCUCGCAAGUCCGAUGUGAAAUCCCCGGGCUUAACCUGGGAAUUGCGUUGGAAACUAUGAGACUAGAGUGUGGCAGAGGGGGGUGGAAUUCCAGGUGUAGCAGUGAAAUGCGUAGAUAUCUGCAGGAACACCAGUGGCGAAAGCGGCGCGCUGGACCGCAACUGACGCUGAGAGACGAAAGCUAGGGGAGCAAACAGGAUUAGAUACCCUGGUAGUCCUAGCCCUAAACCAUCAGGACUUGGCGUGGGCCCCGUCCGGGGUCCGUGUCGUAGCCAACGUGAUAAGUCCUGCGCCUGGGGAGUACGGUCGCAAGGCUGAAACUCAAAUGAAUUGACGG